CCUACGGGAGGCAGCAGUGGGGAAUCUUGCACAAUGGACGAAAGUCUGAUGCAGCGACGCCUCGUGAGUGAUGAAGGUCUUCGGAUCGUAAAGCUCUUUCGACUGGGAAGAUAAUGACGGUACCAGGAGAAGAAGCUGCGGCUAACUACGUGCCAGCAGCCGCGGUAAUACGUAGGCAGCAAGCGUUGUUCGGAAUUACUGGGCGUAAAGAGUGUGUAGGCGGUGUCGUAAGUUUGGCGUGAAAUCUCCCGGCUUAACUGGGAGGGUGCGCCGAAGACUGCGAUGCUUGAGGAUUGGAGAGGAAAGUGGAAUUUCUGGUGUAGCGGUGAAAUGCGUAGAUAUCAGAAGGAACACCUGUGGUGUAGACGGCUUUCUGGACAAUUCCUGACGCUGAGACACGAAAGCGUGGGUAGCAAACAGGAUUAGAUACCCUGGUAGUCCACGCCCUAAACGAUGCAUACUUGGUGUGAGCCAUUCACUUGGUUCGUGCCGGAGCUAACGCGUUAAGUAUGCCGCCUGGGGGAGGUACGGUCGCGAAGGCGUGUUAACGUUACGUAAAGAAAGUUAGUACGGCGUUGAGACGNGCGACGGACGACGACGAGGGAGGAGG
This 610-nucleotide ribosomal RNA is filed under the name uncultured bacterium. RNAcentral describes it as "bacterial SSU rRNA". The stretch from base 1 to 517 matches the Rfam family "Bacterial small subunit ribosomal RNA", at positions 338 to 873 of the family's 1533-position model. The record is from RNAcentral.